AAACAGAAGUUUGCCAGAGAAGAGUCCCAAGAUGACGUCAGGAAACUUCUGGAUUUCUUCGAGAAGAUGCAGAAGAUAAACCCAGAGUUCUUCUAUGAUUAUGACGUUGAUGCAAGUUGCAAAGGAUCAUAUGAAGAUUUUGGAGACAACGUUACAUUUGACACGACAUAUAAAACUAACAAAUUCCACAUGCCGCUGGGAGUUUUCGUGGGAGUGAACCAUCAUCUACAGAGCACAAUAUUUGUUGUUGCCCUCGUGCGAGAUGAAACAAUACCGUCGUUCGAGUGGGUUUUCAAAACAUUUCUGAGGUGUAUGAACAACAAGCCGCCAAUCUGCAUGCUCACAGACCAGUGUUCUUCGAUGAAGGCAGCAUUAAAAACUAUCCUCCCAGAUACACUACAUAAGUUGUGUCGGUGGCAUAUCAUGAAGAAGUACAAAGACCACCUCGCCUUGCUGUAUAAGGCGUACGAGAAACUCAAGGAUGACCUCAAUGCGGUGCUGAACCACGCACUAAUGCCGUCAGAAUUUGAACGAGCAUGGAAGGACCUCAUUCAGAAAUACAACUGGCGAAACGAUGAAAUGAUGAAUUCGCUGUGGGAUGACAGGCACGAGUGGAUCUCGGCUUACUACAAGGAAAUUUUCUAUGCUCGGAUGACUUCCACGCAGAGAAGCGAGAGCAUGAACCGCAUCCUGAAGAAAAACUUUGUCCAAGAGAAGCAUGAUCUCCAUAUGUUUGCUCAGCAGGUGGACAAGUGCAUUCAAACCAGGAAGGCCGUCGAGCACGCAGAGACAAUAGCAAAUGAGGUAAACAAAAUGUCCAUAAAAAACUGCUAA
Molecule: ribosomal RNA, 834 nt
Filed under: Triticum aestivum (bread wheat)
Lineage: Eukaryota; Viridiplantae; Streptophyta; Magnoliopsida; Poales; Poaceae
Description: partial small subunit ribosomal RNA
Source: RNAcentral